ACGUAGGGGGCGAGCGUUAUUCGGAAUUACUGGGUGUAAAGGGAAUGUAGGCGGCCCUUCAAGUCGCGAGUCAAAGUCCAGUGCUCAACGCUGGGUGAGCGCGCGAUACUGACGGGGUUGAGGCCUGGAGAGGUGAGAUGAAUUCCCGGUGCAUUGGUAAAAUACGUGGAGAUGAGUAGGAACGCCUGUCGCGCAAGCAGGUCACGAGUGCUUCUCUGACGCUAAGAGACGGAAGCUUCGGUAACAAUCAG
Molecule: ribosomal RNA, 251 nt
Filed under: uncultured prokaryote
Description: partial 16S rRNA
Rfam family: Bacterial small subunit ribosomal RNA
Source: RNAcentral